Molecule: ribosomal RNA, 465 nt
Filed under: uncultured bacterium
Lineage: Bacteria
Description: partial 16S ribosomal RNA
Rfam family: Bacterial small subunit ribosomal RNA
Source: RNAcentral
GAUGAACGCUGGCGGCGUGCUUAACACAUGCAAGUCGAACGGAAAGGCUCCUGCUUGCAGGGGUACUCGAGUGGCGAACGGGUGAGUAACACGUGGGUGAUCUGCCCUGCACUUCGGGAUAAGCCUGGGAAACUGGGUCUAAUACCGGAUAGGACCACAUUUUGGAUGGUGUGGUGGAAAGUUUUUCGGUGUGGGAUGAGCUCGCGGCCUAUCAGCUUGUUGGUGGGGUAAUGGCCUACCAAGGCGUCGACGGGUAGCCGGCCUGAGAGGGUGUACGGCCACAUUGGGACUGAGAUACGGCCCAGACUCCUACGGGAGGCAGCAGUGGGGAAUAUUGCACAAUGGGCGCAAGCCUGAUGCAGCGACGCCGCGUGGGGGAUGACGGCCUUCGGGUUGUAAACUCCUUUCGCUAGGGACGUAGCGCAAGUGACGGUACCUGGAGAAGAAGCACCGGCUAACUACGUG